GCGGUGGAGCAUGUGGUUAAUUCGAUGCAACGCGAAGAACCUUACCUGGGCUUGACAUCCCAAGAAUCCCCUGGAAACAGGGGAGUGCCCUUCGGGGAGCUUGGAGACAGGUGCUGCAUGGCUGUCGUCAGCUCGUGUCGUGAGAUGUUGGGUUAAGUCCGCUAACGAGCGCAACCCUCACUGUGUGUUAUAUGUGUCACACGGGACCGCCGGUCUUAAGCCGGAGGAAGGUGGGAUGACGUCAAGUCAGCAUGGCCUUUAUAUCCUGGGCUACACACACGCUACAAUGGCCAACACAAUAGGUUGCUAAGCCGCGAGGUGGAGCCAAUCCAUAAAGUUGGUCUCAGUUCAGAUUGUAGGCUGCAACCCGCCUGCAUGAAGAUGGAGUUGCUAGUAACCGCAGGUCAGCUAUACUGCGGUGAAUACGUUCCCGGGGCUU
RNAcentral lists this ribosomal RNA (439 nucleotides) under uncultured Leptolinea sp. RNAcentral's name for it is "bacterial SSU rRNA". It matches the Rfam family "Bacterial small subunit ribosomal RNA", at positions 929 to 1382 of the family's 1533-position model. Lineage: Bacteria; Bacillati; Chloroflexota; Anaerolineae; Anaerolineales; Anaerolineaceae. The record is from RNAcentral.